Molecule: ribosomal RNA, 404 nt
Filed under: uncultured Methanosaeta sp.
Lineage: Archaea; Methanobacteriati; Methanobacteriota; Methanomicrobia; Methanotrichales; Methanotrichaceae
Description: bacterial SSU rRNA
Rfam family: Archaeal small subunit ribosomal RNA
Source: RNAcentral
ACCGACAGCAAUAUGAAGGCCAGGCUGAAGACUUUGUCCGGAUUAGCUGAGAGGUGGUGCAUGGCCGUCGUCAGUUCGUACUGUGAAGCAUCCUGUUAAGUCAGGCAACGAGCGAGACCCACGCCCACAGUUGCCAGCGUACUCUCUGGAGUGACGGGUACACUGUGGGACCGCCGCUGCUAAAGCGGAGGAAGGAAUGGGCAACGGUAGGUCAGUAUGCCCCGAAUAUCCCGGGCUACACGCGAGCUACAAUGGUUGGUACAAUGGGUAUCUACCCCGAAAGGGGACGGGAAUCUCCUAAAACCAAUCUUAGUUCGGAUUGAGGGCUGCAACUCGCCCUCAUGAAGCUGGAAUCCGUAGUAAUCGCGUUUCAACAGAACGCGGUGAAUACGUCCCUGCUCCUU